RNAcentral lists this ribosomal RNA (497 nucleotides) under uncultured bacterium. RNAcentral's name for it is "partial 16S ribosomal RNA". It matches the Rfam family "Bacterial small subunit ribosomal RNA", at positions 28 to 507 of the family's 1533-position model. The record is from RNAcentral.
GAUGAACGCUGGCGGCGUGCCUAAUACAUGCAAGUCGAGCGAACAGACGAGGAGCUUGCUCCUCUGACGUUAGCGGCGGACGGGUGAGUAACACGUGGAUAACCUACCUAUAAGACUGGGAUAACUUCGGGAAACCGGAGCUAAUACCGGAUAAUAUAUUGAACCGCAUGGUUCAAUAGUGAAAGACGGUUUUGCUGUCACUUAUAGAUGGAUCCGCGCCGCAUUAGCUAGUUGGUAAGGUAACGGCUUACCCAGGCAACGAUGCGUAGCCGACCUGAGAGGGUGAUCGGCCACACUGGAACUGAGACACGGUCCAGACUCCUACGGGAGGCACCAGUAGGGAAUCUUCCGCAAUGGGCGAAAGCCUGACGGAGCAACGCCGCGUGAGUGAUGAAGGUCUUCGGAUCGUAAAACUCUGUUAUUAGGGAAGAACAAAUGUGUAAGUAACUAUGCACGUCUUGACGGUACCUAAUCAGAAAGCCACGGCUAACUACGUG